RNAcentral lists this ribosomal RNA (483 nucleotides) under uncultured bacterium. Its description in RNAcentral is "partial 16S ribosomal RNA". It matches the Rfam family "Bacterial small subunit ribosomal RNA", at positions 29 to 523 of the family's 1533-position model. The record is from RNAcentral.
AAUGAACGUUGGCGGCGUGGAUUAGGCAUGCGAGUCGAGCGAGAACCGUAGCAAUACGGGGACAGCGGCGAAAGGGACAGUAACGGGUAGAUUAUCUGCCCUCGGGUUUGGGAUAGCUGCGGGAAACUGCAAGUAAUACCAAAUAAUAUCUCCGAAUCAAAGGUGUGAUUCCGCCUGAGGAUGAGUCUGCCUCCUAUUAGCUAGUUGGUGGGGUAACGGCCUACCAAGGCGUUGAUGGGUAGCGGGUGUGAGAGCACGACCCGCGUCAUUGGGACUGAGACACUGCCCAGACACCUACGGGUGGCUGCAGUCGAGAAUCUUCGGCAAUGGACGCAAGUCUGACCGAGCGACGCCGCGUGUGGGAUGAAGGCCUUCGGGUUGUAAACCACUGUCAGAGGGGAUGAAAUGCAGGUGGGUUCUCCCAUCUGUUUGACAUAGCCUCAGAGGAAGUACGGGCUAAGUUCGUGCCAGCCGCCGCCGUAA